GGUAGCCUAGUGGUUAGAGUGUAGAGGAGGCAGGGUAGCCUAGUGGUUAGAGUGUAGAGGAGGCAGGGUAGCCUAGAGGUUAGAGUGUAGAGGAGGCAGGGUAGCCUAGUGGUUAGAGUGUAGAGGAGGUAGGGUAGCCUAGUGGUUAGAGUGUAGAGGAGGCAGGUAGCCUAGUGGUUAGAGUGUAGAGGAGGCAGGUAACCUAGUGGUUAGAGUGUUGAGGAGGCAGGUAGCCCAGUGGUUAGAGUGUAGAGGAGGCAGGUAGCCUAGUGGUUAGAGUGUAGGGGCGGCAGUGUAGCCUAGUGGUUAGAGUGUAGGGGCGGCAGGGUAGCCUAGUGGUUAGAGUGUAGAGGAGGCAGGGUAGCCUAGUGGUUAGAGUGUAGAGGUG
Molecule: long non-coding RNA, 388 nt
Organism: Oncorhynchus tshawytscha (Chinook salmon)
Lineage: Eukaryota; Metazoa; Chordata; Actinopteri; Salmoniformes; Salmonidae
Source: Ensembl